UGGGGAAUAUUGGACAAUGGGCGCAAGCCUGAUCCAGCAAUGCCGCGUGUGUGAAGAAGGCCUUCGGGUUGUAAAGCACUUUUAUCAGGAGCGAAACGCUGUCGGCUAAUACCCGGCGGAACUGACGGUACCUGAGGAAUAAGCACCGGCUAACUUCGUGCCAGCAGCCGCGGUAAUACGAAGGGUGCAAGCGUUAAUCGGAAUUACUGGGCGUAAAGCGUGCGUAGGCGGUUUCUUAAGUCUGCUGUGAAAUCCCCGGGCUCAACCUGGGAAUGGCAGUGGAUACUGGGAGGCUAGAGUGUGUCAGAGGGUGGUGGAAUUCCCGGUGUAGCGGUGAAAUGCGUAGAGAUCGGGAGGAACAUCAGUGGCGAAGGCGGCCACCUGGGACAACACUGACGCUGAGGCACGAAAGCGUGGGGAGCAAACAGGAUUAGAUACCCUGGUAGUCCACGCCCUAAAGCGAUGCGAACUGGAUGUUGGUCUCAACUCGGAGAUCAGUGUCGAAGCUAACGCGUUAAGUUCGCCGCCUGGGGAGUACGGUCGCAAGACUGAAACUUAAAUGAAUUG
RNAcentral lists this ribosomal RNA (567 nucleotides) under uncultured bacterium. RNAcentral describes it as "partial 16S ribosomal RNA". It matches the Rfam family "Bacterial small subunit ribosomal RNA", at positions 355 to 912 of the family's 1533-position model. The record is from RNAcentral.